UACGUAAGGUCCGAGCGUUGUCCGGAAUCAUUGGGCGUAAAGGGUACGUAGGCGGAUAAGCAAGUUAGAAGUGAAAUCCUAUAGCUCAACUAUAGUAAGCUUUUAAAACUGCUCAUCUUGAGGUAUGGAAGGGAAAGUGGAAUUCCUAGUGUAGCGGUGAAAUGCGCAUAUAUUAGGAGGAAUACCGGUGACGGAGGCGACCAUCUGGCCAUUAUCUGACGCUGAGGUACGACAGCGUUGGUAGCAAACAUG
RNAcentral lists this ribosomal RNA (252 nucleotides) under uncultured bacterium. RNAcentral's name for it is "partial 16S ribosomal RNA". It matches the Rfam family "Bacterial small subunit ribosomal RNA", at positions 524 to 776 of the family's 1533-position model. The record is from RNAcentral.